UGGUUAGGUGAAUUGCUGCUGGUUACAUUAUAUCCCUGUUUUCGUGGACCCCGUUGUAUGUGGAGCCAAGGUCGGACGUGAUUGAACGGUAAGCCAUCGUUCGUGCUAGGGAGUGUACCAUGAGUGCAGGAAGAUGAGUUUUCAUCCAUUGAUGCAGCAAAGAUAGAUUAUACAUCAAUUCCCAGCUUCAACUCAAAGCCAAAGUGACAAAGCAAACCACCAUCUCUUUCAACGACUGCCCCACUCCAACAUAAAAGAAAAACAGAAUAAGAAUCUGUUGAAAUGCCAUUUUCACUAUUCAAUGAUUUGGUGAGUUUGGGUAGGUGCCUUAAAUACGAAACAAAAUGGCCUAUUUUGAUCGAUCAAAUGUAUGAUAUUGUCCAUUUUGAGUGUCAGCCGAUGCAGCUUUAUUCUUGGAACCCGACACGUUUAUCAUGUCAUUGGGUUAGUUUAAUGCAAACGACUUUGCUUGGAAGUAUAGACUUAACUUUUUUU
This is a non-coding RNA of Cucurbita pepo subsp. pepo (vegetable marrow), 495 nucleotides long. Lineage: Eukaryota; Viridiplantae; Streptophyta; Magnoliopsida; Cucurbitales; Cucurbitaceae. The record is from RefSeq and is a predicted model, not a curated record.